RNAcentral lists this long non-coding RNA (4759 nucleotides) under Gallus gallus (chicken). Its description in RNAcentral is "lncRNA (ENSGALG00010016079.1)". The record is from RNAcentral. Lineage: Eukaryota; Metazoa; Chordata; Aves; Galliformes; Phasianidae.
CACAGACCUGUGUACACACAAAUUGACUCCAUCAGGAAGUUCAAUCUGGGACUGCUCUGUGGCCAUAUAUCCUAGGUUAAUUGGUAGUUCAUGCAUUCUUUCAUAGAGAGAAGAUUCUGAAACAAGUUUCUGAGAAUACAAGCCUGCCCAGUAAAAGCUGUACAAGGAGUAGCCUUAGCCUUCAGUGAAUUAAUGUAGUGGUUUCAGUAGUGACCUUUACCAACACAACUUCUAGUUAUGCCAUGCUAUGGGUGAUUUCAGUUGCAUUAAUUGGCACAGAGUUGUAAAUGCAACAUUUAUUACAGGCAUAAAUAAACUACUGAGCAGACUCAAACACCUUCACUUUAAUUAUAGAAACUGCAUUGAUCACAUCUAACUGGGGCUGGUAUUUUAUUGAUGCUUCAAUGCGUUCUAGGCACUAGUUUUAUUUCAACCACUCUUGCUUUUAUUUAUUUAAAAAAAAAAAAGGAGGAAAAAGUACUUCUUGGAUUUACAUUUCUUCUGUGGCUAGUAGUAGUGAUUACUCUUUUGUUGUGAAGCCAUAAGUAAUGCAUAGGCUUCAUACUACUACUUUCAGGGAAGGUCAUUUCCUUUGACCCUAAAUCAUUGAGUUUGGAUUACUAAAAUCAGAAAUUAUUCAAUUUUUAUGGAAACGUGAUCAGUCCCCUUUUUUUUCUGUAAUGGAGAGUAAAUCCAAUAAUAGAAUGAUCCAAGCAAGUGCUGGUCUCCUGCUGGAUAUGGUGGUGAGCCAUCCAGGCAGUUCCUGAAACUGUUAGGCUUGCAUUUGUGAGAUAUACUUUAUUCAUUUGAAAUCUCUUCACACUUCUGUAGAUGAAAUAUUUAACAAAAUACAUCAAAUAGCAAAGGCUGGCUGUAUCACCUUUCCAAUUUUUUUCUGCAUGUAUUUAUCUUCUAAUUAAACAGAUGAGUUUUCUGGAGGAAAUUACACUAAUUUCCACUUAUAGACAGACUUCUAUAGUAAUGUUGACUUACAUUGCCUUGUGUAGGUGUGGUUUCUGUGAGAACAGCUGUUAUCUUGGCAUGGAGAGCUUUGACAGUAAACCUGAGGCACAGCUGGAUUAUCAAGUUAAAUUGUGCAAUUUGAUGGCAAGCUCAGAUGCAGCUGUAGAAUGCAGUUUAGUAGUAUUAAUAAUUAAAUUAUAAAUUGGUGUGAUAAAAUCUAAUAGAUGGUUGUAGUUCCAGUUGAUGCUAGAACAGUGUUAGUUGUAUAGUACUCUUUUUUUCAAUUUUUUUAAGUGCUGAUCUCUUCUUUUCCAUAAGUGUUAGCAAUAAGAGACAAGCUGUCACACUGCAUGGCUGACCUGUGCUUCUCUCCUGUGCGGCUGCUUGUGAGCAGAACACCUGAACCACAGAUUUCCUCACCCAAACUUUAUUUUAAUUAAAAUAAACUCAUUGAGAUUUGGAUGCAGCAGGUCUGGUUUCACCUGCACUGUGAAGAAAGAGCUUUAUGACAUACUUUAUUUAGACAGUCUUUUGAUGAAUCCUGCUUGGCCCUGAAGUUUUGCUGGUGUUUAAAUUAGUGACAGACAGGAGUUGUACUGAAACACAAUGCUUACUUUUAAAAGAUAAAUUCAUUGCAGUUUUCUUAUGCAUACCAGUCCCACUGAAACUGUAGGCACUUAGGGCAGUGCUUUCCUGUCCCCUGAGCCCUACAUUAGGUGAUAGUAAAAUAGGCUGAGCUCAUAUUGUCAGCUUCGCAGCCUGACUUGUAAGUGGUGCAGCACAUCCUUAAGAUUUGGUGGUCUAGGGCUUAGUCCAAAGCAGCUGAAAGUCUUUUGGAGCUACAGCAAGGUGGUAGUUCAGCCAAGUCACUGUUCUGAGAUGCUCUGUUAAAUAAAUAUGGUUUGGGUACAAGAAUGCAUCUUCUUUGUCAGGAUUAAAAUGAUGGGUAAUACUUUAAAAAUAAUAACAAUUAAAAAAAUGGAUAUAUUAUGUUGACUUACUCAUCCAAGUGUCAUGCGAAUUGCUUACUAAGGGUGGAGUUUGCUAAGGUCUAAAGUUACCCUCACAUAGAAGUGCCUGUAUUCUGUUAUUGCCAUUCUUGAGCUUUUUAAGAGAGUCACAGCCAUAUAUUUUAUAAAUAUAAGCAUAUGCACCUUUCGAUCUUUAAAUUUGCAGAACAAAGGUUUACAGAGCAGAAGUGUAGCAAAACCAAUGUACUAGCUUCUGUAAUUCCCCAGUGGGGGAUGGAGAAGUACAAAAAAUGGGGAGGAUCAGACUAUCUGUAUAAGAUGUCUUAAUUUGGCACCAUAUAUUCAUCCAAUUUAGUUCCAUCAAGCUAUGUGGUUAUAAGAGUGCCAGAAAUAUAUCUCUCAAGCCAUUCUAAAUAAAAAGCUCUUUGUGGACCUGUAUAUUCCAUUUGUUUGUAAAACAUUUUUGUGCACUGUAACGAACUUGAAAUGAAACUCAUACCACUGAACAGAGCUCUGUUCAGCUACCUCGACGUAAGGUUGAAGUACUUUGGUUUUUUUCCAGAUUUGUUCACAUUGUCAUAUAAAAUAUUUUUUAAAAAAAUUCAUAGUCCAAAGAUCCUGUAUUUGUUUGUAGAUGUACUUACAAUUAUGUUGUACCAACAAAGUCUGUGUGAAGCAUUGUUUGCUAAUUAAAAUUUUUGUGUUCUUUACUCCUUGGCUUGCAUAACAAAGAACAUCAGGUGUGAACCUCUGUGGCACGCGAGCUGCUUUUUUAGGUGGUUUAGAAAAAGGAACAAAGAACAAAUCCUAGGUUCUGCAGCCACGCAGCACAAUCCGAUGUGAAGGAAGGAACCCACAGGAAGGAAGGCGGUUGCCCAAAACUCAGCCUUUGUAAGGGACCCCCCAGAGCACUUUCCUUUUUUGCUGUAGAAGAGAAAGGGCAAUGGGAAGUGCUGAGAGCCUAGCUUCCAGCGCUGUGUGCUUCAGUGCCUCCUGUGCUGUUUGCUUUAGUGAGUUGCCUCUGUUUCUGUGAUUAAAAACAAUAGCUAGGCUGCCUUCCAUGUGCAGCCUCGGCCAGGAAAAGUGAGCCCUAGCUGCUUGUUAAGCUAUGCCUGUGGACCCAUGUAAGCAUGAUAUUUAGUAAGAACCCCUCAGCUAGAAGCUGCAUAGCACUUUUGAAGUCCACAGCUUGCAGAAAAAGCUGAAAAAGAGGACUUAUAUUCAUAAACCCCAAGACUGAGAGAACAGCUCCAUGGUUUAUCCUACUGAAAAUGUGGAAGAGUCACCAAAGUUUAGCUUUUAGAGAUAUGUACGGGCUGCUCCUUUACCUAGUUGCCAAAGCAAGCUGCGUGCCAUGGCUGUGCUCUGCUGCUCCAAUCCUGUCACCUAUGGCACCAGAGAUCACCUCACUGCUCUCUUAUGUAAGCUUGCUCAGGUCCUGCAUUUAUUUUAGAAUCCAGGGCACAGCCUGAAGGCUGAAUUUAGUAAGGCAACAGCUAAUUAUGUCAGGGCUGUGGUUUUCUAUAACAAAUAUUUGAAUCUGAGCUGGGAAGUAUUUUGGUUGAAGUGCUUUUCCAUCAGGAAACUGCCAAAGCUGAAGCUUUGCUUGCGAACACGGCAGGUAAAUUAUUCCUUUCAGUUCUGUUUUAAUUCUGAAAGCCUUAAUUAAGAAUGGUUUUUAGUUGUAGUUUAAAGCAGAAAAUAAAUAAGUAAAUAAAACAAAUCUAGGGUAGCAAAUGUAUUUCCCAACUCUAUUUGUUCAGCACACUUUAAAAGAGAUUUAUUCAACAGACUCAUGAAGUAGUCUGAAGUCAAUUACUUAAUGUCUCACUUUAAAAUGAUCAUCAAAAUGGCAAACAAUCUCUAUGGUGUAAAGCAGUUCCUGGGAAAGGACUGCUGACUGCCUCCUGUCAGCCUUCACUGCCCCAUGUGGUUCUUAAUGCUGCAGCCAUUGUGGCUGGGCUGUGAUCAGGGCUUGGCCCACAGCAGUGCCUGGCUGUUUUGCCACCACUUUGAGCACUCAGGCAUCAAGCUGUAACGUGCUGUUCUCUUAAUGAAAUGUCACAAAGUCCUGGGACAUCUAUCAGUGUGCUGUGGUUCUCCAUAGGACUGAGUUAAAGUGCUGCAACAUUUCUGUCUUCAAAUGUGAGGCGUGCUGCCUGCCGCCAUCUUGGCCACGUGUGCAGAGGGAGAGUAGAAACUUAGUUUGUAAGGGACUGUGGGGCUAGGCUUUGUUGUCACUGUCGUUCUUCAAUCCGUGUUGCUUUCAAACUGAGUAAAUUUUCUAUCAGCUGCCACUUAGAACUCCAGAAAUCACACAACAGAACAGAUGAAAUAGUUCUUCCUAGUGGGUAGUAAUGUGACCAGGCCUUCUUCCCCAGCUGUAUUAUAACUAGCUGCUCAGCAAAGCUCUAUACUGAUGCCAAAAAUGAACACACAGAGGCAACCUGAGAACCAGAGCACCAUCGAAGAGCAGGGUUUGUCAUGCAUAGCCCUCAGCUGCCACACACUGAAUGGUUUACCUCUUCUCAUGGACAGCUUUCAGGUUGUUAAAGCAAAGCUGACAGCCUGAGAGAGCGUGCCGUCACUAGCAGCUUUGUGCCAGCACGGCAUCUUCUCUCGCAGUAGAUCUGCUCUUGACUUGUAAUGCUAUAAGUGAAAGGAGAAUUAAGCUAUUUAUGUAAGUGACUUUAUUUAUAUAACUGACUUAUGCUGUAUUAUAUGAUGAAAAAGGAAAAAAAAAAAGCGGCUUUUUUUUUUUUUUGUCAUUUCUAUGAGCUGCAGGAAGAUUUUGUAAAAGUAAUACUAGUAAUAAAUGGUUUUCU